GUCGUCAAUACAAUUGAGUUAAAAUUUCUAAGUUCGAGCAACGAUGGUUUUCGUGUUGAACGCGACAAUUUGCAAACGGCCAACAACGGAUCUUAAAUUAUCCGAUGUAAUGUUUUCAAAUCCGUACGUGACAUGCUACAGUGUAAGAUAAGAUAUCCAAAUAACCAUUGGAAUUAACUCAAAAAGUGACUUCUAAAAUAUAAUUAUAAGCACACAAUUUUACUUAGGCUACGCUACUAGGGUCGCUGCACACAGGUGAUUGAACGCUUUUCUGGGCUGAGAAUAUAGUAAGGACUUAGCCUGCGAACAGGCUCUGAAGCUGAAUUGAGAGCCUGCAUUGAUGACUAAUGAAUUUGAAUAUCUGCCCCGUAACGUUCGUUUUUCCAAAUAUGGAAUGUCUAUCCUUAUAUGGUGUUGUUUACAACUUUCAUGCAAACUAAAUUUAGACC
Paramuricea clavata is the source of this 449-nucleotide non-coding RNA. The record is from the annotation of a GenBank genome assembly. NCBI's taxonomy places the organism in Eukaryota, Metazoa, Cnidaria, Anthozoa, Malacalcyonacea, Plexauridae.